Molecule: RNA transcript, 4427 nt
Organism: Zalophus californianus (California sea lion)
Lineage: Eukaryota; Metazoa; Chordata; Mammalia; Carnivora; Otariidae
Gene: DHDDS
Gene name: dehydrodolichyl diphosphate synthase subunit
Exons: 9
Source: RefSeq, a predicted model, not a curated record
CGGGGAGACGGCUGUGGGAGAAACAGAGGGGACAGUGGAAGAGAUGAGUGAGGGAAUACAUAAUUUGGAGAAUACUGAGAUUGGAGGUGACGGGGCGACACGUGAAGGGGGGUUGGAGCGCAGAAUGGGAAGGGUCUUGGGGAGGAUGGAGAAGGAAGAAGCAGGGAGGGAUCAGGAUGUAAAGCCUAUGAGGUGGCAGGAAGCAGACUUGGAUGUUCAGGAAAAGUCAGUGCAGAUACCGAGGAAAAGGGGAUAGCAGCAAGGUCCACCAAGCCAAAACCAAGGAAAGGCCUCUGCCCCGAAGGUCUCAUUGGCUUAUAAACUCUGGGUGGUGAAGAAUUGUAGGCUUAGACCAGUGUCUUUGGAUCCUAAACUUGGCUACUCUUCACAGUCCAGAUAAGUCCCUACAAAGUCAUCCGAAGCUGUUUGCAAGCUCUGGUGAUUUAUUCUCUUGUUUAUCCAAGUUUACCUGGCGGGUGUCUUCUUGUCCUGGGCUCAUCUUCUGCCAGGGCAGGAGCUAUGUCAUGGAUCAAGGAAGGAGAGCUGUCACUUUGGGAAUGGUUCUGUGCCAACAUCAUAAAAGCGGGCCCAAUGCCCAAACACAUUGCCUUUAUAAUGGAUGGAAACCGUCGCUAUGCCAGGAAGUGCCAAGUGGAGCGGCAGGAAGGCCACUCACAGGGCUUCAACAAGCUGGCUGAGACCCUGCGCUGGUGUUUGAACCUGGGCAUCCUAGAGGUGACGGUCUACGCGUUCAGCAUUGAGAACUUCAAACGCUCCAAGAGUGAGGUAGACGGGCUAAUGGAUCUGGCCCGGCAGAAGUUCAGCCGCUUGAUGGAAGAACAGGAGAAACUGCAGAAGCAUGGGGUAUGUAUCCGGGUCCUGGGCGAUCUGCAUUUGUUGCCCUUGGAUCUCCAGGAGCUGAUUGCGCAGGCGGUACAGGCCACCAGGAACUAUAACAAGUGUUUCCUAAAUGUCUGCUUUGCUUACACAUCCCGUCACGAGAUCAGUAAUGCUGUGAGAGAGAUGGCCUGGGGAGUGGAGCGAGGCCUGCUGCAUCCCAGUGAUGUCUCUGAGUCUCUGCUCGAUAAGUGCCUCUAUACCAACCACUCUCCGCAUCCUGACAUCUUGAUACGGACUUCCGGGGAAGUGAGGCUCAGCGACUUCUUGCUCUGGCAGACUUCCCACUCCUGCUUGGUGUUCCAACCCGUUCUGUGGCCAGAAUACACAUUUUGGAACCUCUGUGAGGCCAUCCUGCAGUACCAGAUGAACCAUAGCAUGCUCCAGCAGAAGGCCCGAGACUUGUAUGCAGAGGAGCGGAAGAGGCAGCAGCUGGAGAGGGACCAGGCUGCAGUGACAGAGCAGCUGCUGCAAGAGGGGCUCCAGGCCAGUGGGGACGCCCAGCUCCGACGGACGCGCUUGCACAAACUCUCAGCCAGACGGGAAGAGCGGGUCCAAGGCUUCCUGCAGGCCUUGGAACUCAAGCGGGCUGACUGGCUGGCACGUCUGGGCACUGCAUCAGCCUGAAUGAGGCUGGCCUCCUGCCACUUUGCCCUGCCCUCUGCCUCCAGGGCCCCACUCCCCUCUCUUUUCUUGGUGAAAGGCGCCUCCCUCCUAAUGAUGAAUUGUGUUUCCUUUGCUUGGCAGGGGAGCCCCAGAGGCCAGGUCUGCUGGCCAUAGAUAGACCUGUUGGACUGCCUGGGACAGUGGCCCCUGGGGAGGGUUGAGGUGAUAGUCUCCCCACAAGUACACUAAAGCCAGCUCUGGUCACCCAUAGGUUUGGAGAGCAGGGAGCCCCAGGUCUUUGCUGCCUGUUCCUUCUGCCUCUGCCCCAUCGACAUGUGCUCCUAGAUGCACUUUAUUUUUUUUACCAGCACAUCCUUCAACACACAGAAUUUCAGGGCAGAGGUCUCCCCAAAACCCUAGCCCUUUACCCUUCCAUCUUAACCUUCUACCCGACUUUCACAAAAGAUUUGGCUCCACCUUGGAUCUGCUGGUAAAUAGCUAAUAGGCAGCCAGCGUUAUUUGGGCAAGGAAGAGGAGGGAGAGACAGAAAAUUUGCCCAUCUGCUGCUCCUCCCCCUGGGCUCUCCACCUGGGAUUUGCUAUUGAAUCUCUACCCCCUCCCACCACACAGUACUGAUUGCUCACUGAAAGGCUCAGCGCCCCCAAUGGCGCGCGGAAGCCAGGCGGGUGAUUACAAUCCAAUUACCUAUUGUCGACUCAGCCCACACAAGCUUUUCUCCUCCUCUUGCAGGGCAUGGGGCCAGGCUCCACGCCCCUGUGAGACCAGCCCCCUCCAUGACUACAGGGUAACAGAAGGGCCUGUAGGCCCUGGUGAAUCUAAUCCACCACAGGCCUUCCCUGGAACAUGUCACAGGACCCAGAGCACAGAAACAAGCGCUUCUCCCAACUGACUGCUGUCCUCACCAUCUCAGACUCUGCUUCCUACCGCCUCAGUCUUCGAGACUUCUCUGUUCUUGACCUGGCCCCCUAAGUAGCCCCUGAGACUGAUUUAUUCUCAGCGUGGCGGAGUCUCCGCUUCUUAGGGCCAACACUGCCCAGCAGGGAGAAGAGGACCAAGUCAAGGGCCGUGUCCUUUCCCUUACCUCUCCCUGCCAGGCCUUGCUGCAGAGCUGCUGAGAGGAUUAGUGCCUUUGAAGGGCUGUCUGCCUGAGCAGCUCUGCUUCAGGUGCCCGGAGCAGCAAGCACCAGCCUUUAACACCAGCCAAACACCACUAUGUUUAGUCUUCCCAUUUUACUUUCUGCGAACUGUUUCCCCAGCACCUCCCUCUAGGGGAGAGGCGGGGUCUUGCAAGCAGUGCUCCCAGCAAAGUCUUUAAACCCCUAACUUCCCCGUAUUCCAGUCUCCUCUUCCCCUUCCUGUGCCAGGAUACCUGGCACAAGAGACCCAUUGGCCAUCAUCCCUUCUCCCAGAAUCAGGCAGAAAUGCCAGACACUGCGAUUGAGAAGCCAAUCAAUGCACCCUUUGGCAAGCCCCCCACACACACCUGGCAUUCCCCACAACCAAUCCCUGGCACAGGGUUCCCAGAGAGCAGGUGCUGUACAUUUUCCAGCUUUAUAAUGGGGCUGUUGACAGCUUUAAUUAGGGAGGCAUGAAUUAUGCGGCUAUAAUGCAGAGCCCUACAAUUAAGGCGGGAAUGAGGGGCUGGAGGCAACAAACGGAAUCUGCCCAGUGAGCCUGGCUAUUGAGUCCUGUCUCCGUUCUGUGUCUGACUUUCCCUAAUAUGACUGAGGUACAGCAGAGAUGAUUAAUGGAGCUGGUGUCUCUCUUUGGCGUAUUCUGGAGAAGGUACACAGAGUGGGAUGUGUAGGGGCUGAGGGACCACUACUGCCAAGGUGCAGGAGCUGCAAAUAGUUGAUAGGGACUCACUGUGAUUGCUUUCUGCCCGCAGGAUUUGUACAAACCAGCUCAACCCUUGCCUCAAGAAAGAUGUAAAACUUGUCUACAAACAGUACAACAGAAGAACACCUGGUUUUGCGGCUGCAGUUGUCUGCCCUUUCUCAGGUGCGCUUGGCUACCUCCAGGAUCCCCAGCUUUGGGAGCGUGCGGGGUGGGGGAGGCAGUGGAAAAGCCCUUUUGCCAUCCCAACACCUGUUCCUCUACUUGUUUCCUGAUCCCCGGUCGCUUUCCUCCACCCUCCUUGUCCUCCCGCAAGUGAGAGGAAGCCAGCCUGCCAGUGUGGAAGGAGGGAUUUCGCCAGCUGCGUUUGCAGCGCCCGGGCUUGGUGGCCGCGUCGGGUGGGGGCAGCUGAGCUUGAUGUCUCCAGAGCGGGUGGAGCGUAGGGGGAGGGGAGUGCUAGUAGGCCUAGGCGGCUGCUCUCCAUCAUUCUGUGGCGGGGUUCCGAGGUUCGGGAAUACAGGGACCUAAGGGAGCCACUCGACAGGCUUUGGGGUGGGGGGCUUCGUUGGCAUUUGGGGAGGCGGCUGAGAAGCGGGUGCUGAAAGGACAGCUCCUACCUGCCCCACUGCACCCGAAAGGGACCUCUGCGUGUAAAGUCUCCCCCCUCGAACCCCCACCCCACCUCGAGCAGACUGCCUUCCAGGUGAGGAGCACGAGAGGAUUCCUCGGAGUGGCAGCUUGGAAGGAUGCACGUCCGGCUGCGCCAAGCUGGCUUCCCCGCUCUUUCCCCACUUCAGCGUCUGCCUUGGCCCUGGGAAUUGCAGCCUGUGCCUCCACGCCGCGCGCUUCCUCCCGCCUCUGGCGGAGAAGGGCGGUGCGGCCAGGCCUCGAAAACCCUUCUUCUGGGGCCCCCAGCGGGAACAGGAAGGAAAGCGGCCGAGAUGCGCCCUAAGUGUCGCAUGGCUUGGAGAAGUGGGUAGCUGGGUUGCAUAAGGUAGAAGGAACUUGGUAGUUUGCAAAAGCCAGCUCUUGGCGGGAGCCGAAACGCAGAGCCCGCCGACUCGCAC